CGGGCUGGUUCACUACAUCCUGUGAAGGUGAGAAGGGAAAGAACUGAGGUUGUUGGAGGGUUGCCAGGAUCUUCAUAGUUCUGGUUAUUCACUUCUUGGCUAGUGCUCAAGUUUUUGGUUUGGGGACCAUUGGGAAUUUUGAAGCCUAGGAGCCAUCUACACCAGUGAGGACUAACUCACCUGAUCCAGGGGAACCUGCCUGGUAUAAUUUUUGGAAGAUAAGAGGUGAAACAGCAUGACUUUUCCCAUCAGCCCUGCUGAGACCAUCUGAGAUGAACUGAUCACCAGUCAAGUCCCAGCUGAACUCAGGACCACAACAGAGCCUGAGACUCCAGAUGUGAAGAAACUCAGUCUCCUGAAUUUGAGGGGAAAUAAAAAGGAUUUUAGAGAUCUUCUUUGAAGUUAAAGACUUGCAUUACAGAUCCGGCCCUGACACUAAUAAGGUUGUUGUUACCUGACCUUGAAGAAGAGACCUUCUGUAGAAGACGCCGAUGUGUCCCAGCAGUGCCCUGUUUUCUCAUCACCAGAGCUAAAUGCUCUAGGGGUCCUCCCAAUAAGGGCUCUAUGCAUCUUUUUAUUGUGGCAUACUGACUAUUUGGGCAUUUUGGUAGCCUUUGUUGGACCCCAAUUCAUGUGGUUGCCAGGUUCUGCCAUGUGCAGAGGCUGCCAGCCACUGGAUGUCAGGAUUGGGUCAUGAAGCGACUGACUUAGAAACUCUGGGGUGGCCCAGGGCUGCUAUUGUGCUCCUGCUUGGUGAAGCCAGGAUCCAAGAGACUUGGGUCUGUGUUUCCUACCACUGGUGUUUAGUUGCAAUGCCCAGGAAUCUCGGAGAAGGUGUCAGAUCACUGGUGGGUGAGGCUGGUUCCUUACACAUUGGAUUAGAGGUCAAGAGUGCCUGGAAGCUUGUGUUGGCCUUCUAGUGAGUGGGGCUAAGAACUUUCCCAGGGAAGAGUCUGGCCUCCUGGUAGGUGGGCCAGGACCACAGACUGCAGUGCUGCUUUCUUUUGGCUGGUGUCUGCCCACUGGUGGGUUGAGCUGGGUGCUAAAGUCUCUGACUAUGGAGCCUUUAGGGUUUCAGGGUUAAUGUCUAUAUAUUGAACAUGCGCUAGAGUGUCUAGUGUGCAGAGCUGUGUCCUGGGGCGAUGGUAGGCUCAUGGGACCUUAAGGCAGCUGAUGGAUGUGGCCAUGUCCUUUCCCAGUUAGUUGCUUGGACUGAGGCAUCCAGCUCUGGUAUCUGCAGACUUUGGGAGCAGGACAGGCUAGGUCCUGGAGCUAAUGAAAGGAGCUCAAGGAAAAACUCCAAAUGGUAUUCCCAAACAGGUAUUUGCAAGAAGAUUGAAGAGGUCUUUUUAUGCCUCCUCUGUUACAAAUUAUUUUGUUAGAUUUACCAUCAAAGAGAUAAAUAACACAGUAUAUUUUUUCUUCGAUUACAUAUUUCCUAUUUUUAUGUUGUAGAUACACUAAUGAAAAAAGAAAGGCAGGAGGAAGGCCACAGGAAGGAGGAGGAUAAUCAAAGGUCCUGGAUAAUGAUAUAUAAACUAAAUUAUUGGCUUCUGGCAUAAUUGAGAUUUAAUUGUUUUGCUUUACUUCAACCUGAACUUUGUAUCCAAAUUAUUUCCCCAGGAUACCAGCUGAAUGAAAAAAAAAAUACCCAACUAAAAUAGUAAAUUUUUCAUAACUGAAUUACUUCAUCAUUCUUCAAAUGAUAUAUUAGGUGCUCACCACAAAGCCUAUUCCUCAGGAAUGUUUUCAAUAUUAUUAUUUCCCCCAAAAAGCAGUUUGAGAGAAUCUUUGAAUAUGACAAAAUCUAUCAUCCUUCAGUGAGUCAGAAAAUGUAUCAGUAGAUUAUCAUUAAAAUACAAAUAAAAACUCUAGAAAAAAAAAU
Molecule: non-coding RNA, 1885 nt
Organism: Sus scrofa (pig)
Lineage: Eukaryota; Metazoa; Chordata; Mammalia; Artiodactyla; Suidae
Source: RefSeq, a predicted model, not a curated record